AAAAGACAAGCUCAAUUGUCCAAAUUUCUUCACCUCUUUUUAUCUUUCUGUUUUGGCUCGUCUUCUUUACCUUUGGUUAAGCUCUGUUUUGUGGUUGAUCCCGUGGAUUGUCACAAGAAAAGGGGUAGUGAGGUGAAUACAAGAACUACUGUGAAUCUGCAGCUAUAUCCAUGGUAGAAGAUGAUUCUAAGUUGGUAUUGUCCUUGUUUAUGUUUGGCUAAUGCUGCAAGAGUAUAACCGAGUGGUGUAUUAGUAACCGCUACUUUAUCAAAAAAGUUGCACUGCUACCUAUCUUUGUUAGGUUGUCCUCCAGUCCAUUUCCCUCUCUGUAUGUAUGGCUUAUCGAUGUAUUUUUCAGUUGUUGGAGUAACCACAUGCAGUCGUGCAAAAUAUUGGAGUAUAUGAGGUUAGUAGAUUGUAAGUGAUGGAGAACUUCUUACAGAACUAUUUUCUGUGCCUAGUGGUUGUAAGUUAUAGGCAAGGUCCAGGCAAACUGUAAGCUUGCAGUAGAACCCGCAGUUCAGUGCGAAUACUGGACAAUUAGUAAGGAGUGAAAGUCUCUUAACGGUAAGAAGAGAAGCUCAUGAAUAUCUUUCCUCAUCGUGUAGUAGGAGAAUAAAUACCACUACAUCCUUUCUUUCCCCUUGAAAUAUGAUCUAUUAGUGGCAAGAAAUACUAGUAUUCUGUUGCACCAAUUUGUUAAUAACAAGACUUUUUCUUUAA
Molecule: long non-coding RNA, 723 nt
Organism: Solanum pennellii
Lineage: Eukaryota; Viridiplantae; Streptophyta; Magnoliopsida; Solanales; Solanaceae
Exons: 2
Source: RefSeq, a predicted model, not a curated record